AGAUGAGCCUGCGUCUGAUUAGGUUAGUUGGUGAGGUAAUGGCUCUACCAAGACUAUGAUCAGUAGGGGACCUUAGAGGGCAACCCUCCACACUGGAACUGAGACAAGGACCAGACUUCUACGGAAGGCAGCAGUGAGGAAUAUUGGUCAAUGGAGGAAACUCUGAACCAGCUAUGCCGCGUGUAGGAUGACAGUCUUUUAGAUUGUAAACUACUUUUACAUAGAAAUAAAAGUUACUACGGGAUGGUAACCUGAAGGUACUAUGAGAAUAAGUGUCGGCUAAUUUCGUGCCAGCAGCCGCGGUAAAACGAAAGACACAAGCGUUAUCCGGAUUUAUUGGGUUUAAAGGGUGUGUAGGUUGUUUAUUAAGUCAGUAGUGAAAGCUUACAGCUUAACUGUAAAAUUGCUAUUGAUACUGAUAAUCUUGAGUCAGAUUGGAGCGUCUGGAAUGUAUGGUGUAGCGGUGAAAUGCAUAGAUAUCAUACAGAACACCAAUAGCGAAGGCAGGAUGCUAAAUCUUCACUGACACUGAGGCACGAAAGCGUGGGUAGCAAACAGGAUUAGAUACCCUGGUAGUCCACGCCCUAAACUAUGAUCACUAGCUAUUGGAAAAAUUAUAUUCAGUGGCCAAGCUAAAGCGAUAAGUGAUCCACCUGGGAAGUACGAUCGCAAGAUUGAAACUCAAAGGAAUUGACGGGGUUUCGCACAAGCGGUGGAGCAUGUGGUUUAAUUCGAUGAUACGCGAGGAACCUUACCAAGGUUUAAAUGUAUUACGAAUAAGCUGGAAACAACUUAGUCUAUAAGACGUAAUACAAGGUGCUGCAUGGUUGUCUUCAGUUCGUGCUGUGAAGUGUUUGGUUAAGUCCUAUAACGAGCGCAACCCUUAUUGUUAGUUGCCAUC
This 901-nucleotide ribosomal RNA is filed under the name Candidatus Uzinura diaspidicola. RNAcentral describes it as "bacterial SSU rRNA". It matches the Rfam family "Bacterial small subunit ribosomal RNA", at positions 223 to 1122 of the family's 1533-position model. The record is from RNAcentral. Lineage: Bacteria; Pseudomonadati; Bacteroidota; Flavobacteriia; Flavobacteriales.